Molecule: ribosomal RNA, 358 nt
Filed under: Enterococcus sp. UepopsA12.205
Lineage: Bacteria; Bacillati; Bacillota; Bacilli; Lactobacillales; Enterococcaceae
Description: bacterial SSU rRNA
Rfam family: Bacterial small subunit ribosomal RNA
Source: RNAcentral
GAGGUAACGGCUCACCAAGGCCACGAUGCAUAGCCGACCUGAGAGGGUGAUCGGCCACAUUGGGACUGAGACACGGCCCAAACUCCUACGGGAGGCAGCAGUAGGGAAUCUUCGGCAAUGGACGAAAGUCUGACCGAGCAACGCCGCGUGAGUGAAGAAGGUUUUCGGAUCGUAAAACUCUGUUGUUAGAGAAGAACAAGGAUGAGAGUAACUGUUCAUCCCUUGACGGUAUCUAACCAGAAAGCCACGGCUAACUACGUGCCAGCAGCCGCGGUAAUACGUAGGUGGCAAGCGUUGUCCGGAUUUAUUGGGCGUAAAGCGAGCGCAGGCGGUUUCUUAAGUCUGAUGUGAAAGCCCC